Apis cerana (Asiatic honeybee) is the source of this 1556-nucleotide long non-coding RNA. RefSeq lists it as uncharacterized. The record is from RefSeq and is a predicted model, not a curated record. NCBI's taxonomy places the organism in Eukaryota, Metazoa, Arthropoda, Insecta, Hymenoptera, Apidae.
AAAAUAAAUACAAUAUUUCCGAAUUUUUCAUUCGAACAUCAUGAAUUAUGAAAUACUGUAAUAUUUGUUAUUCUGAAUUAACAAAAUUUAUAUCAACACAAUCUACGAGUCACAGAAGUUUAUUUGUAAAAUUUUAAACAUUUAAAAGAAAAAAUAUGUAUAUUUAUUUAUUUAAAAAAAUUUCUUUUUUUUAUUCAUAACAAAUCUAAUUUUAGUAAUACUCGUAAUAAUAUUCGUAACGAAAAAAAAAUUCCAGAAAAUAUAUGAAAAGGAGAACUAUUCUAAUCUAUUCUAAUUUAAUAUGCGUUAAUAAUUUAUCAUUGCAUAUGCUCAAUGUUUACAUAAUAUUUAAGAAUGUUUUAAAUAUUAGCUAUUUUUAUUUAUAAACAUAUAUUAUAUUACAAUCAAUAUGAAUUAAUAUGAAUUCAUUAAUUAAUUUAUAUAUUAAAAUUGCUAUGAGUGUAAUCAUAUCUUUUCAUCAUGAUCUUAAAAUUAAAUAUUAUAAAAUAAAAUAAAAAAAUAAAAAAACUUUAUUUUGCAAUUGGAAAAUCAAUACCAUUAAAUUUCUUUGGAAACCCAUAUAACAGUAUAAUACAUCAUCAAUAUUAUUACUAAAAAAUUCAAAAGUUUUAUAUUUAUGGUUAUUAUUGUCACUGCGAUAGUGAUAUUUGUUGGUAUUACUGCAUCACUAGGUUUUCCUGUUGCUGCGUGGUUGGGACGAUGGUUGUGUGUAGCAAAGAAUGCAAAUAACGAUGACCAUGCGCGUGUGUAGUAGUGGUGAGAUGGCGGAGGAGGAAGAGCGAUUGGAAUGCAGCCGAGUGAGGAAUUCCGGCCCCUCCCGCAUAUUUAUCUGAACGCUGCUCACCGGUUUGCAGGGCCCCGCUCCGAGCGAAGGGCCUCUUUUAUAGUACGGCAACUACUCUUCGUCGCUCAUACCAACGGAGAAACGAAAAAAGGAUAGAUAGCUGCAACCGCACGAAGUAUCGGGCCACUAUGCGUACAGAUCUAUUCAGGAAUGCCCACGGUGUUUUGUAAUUGGGCGCAUGCGUGGCAUUUUCUCCUAAAUAUGCAACCGCGGUAAAUUUCGAAGCUAGUAGAGAGGAAAAAGAAUCAGCAAUAAGCAGACUGAUGACGGAGAAAAGCAUUUCUUCGACCGGACAGCUGUUGCCGAACAAAGGCCGAAGGAUACAAAAGAGGAAUUUCUUGGGCCGCACGUGGCUCCCGAGAGAAAGAGAGAAGGGAAGGGAAAAGAAAAAGAAGGAUUCACAGCUAAUGCAAGGGGCUGACUAUAUACACGUGACCCGCUGCACCCUUUUGGGCAUUCCUCUCCUUCCGUCAAUUUCCUCUUUUCUUAAUUUCAAUCAUCUUUCAUUUUUCUUCUGUGACUAUUUUUUCUUUCUCUUUUUUAUUAAUCUUAAUGAAACUUUUAUAAGAUUAAUAAAAUCUAUAUCUAUCGUAUCUAUCGUAAUUUGAAGAAUUAUCUAGCAGAAAAAAUACGAAAGAAUACAAAUAUGAUUAUUCUUGUUUAAUAAAAUCAUGCUUGAUAAAAACAUAAA